This 395-nucleotide ribosomal RNA is filed under the name uncultured bacterium. RNAcentral's name for it is "bacterial SSU rRNA". It matches the Rfam family "Bacterial small subunit ribosomal RNA", at positions 30 to 426 of the family's 1533-position model. The record is from RNAcentral.
AUUGAACGCUGGCGGCAUGCCUUACACAUGCAAGUCGAACGGCAGCGGACCUUCGGGUGCCGGCGAGUGGCGAACGGGUGAGUAAUAUAUCGGAACGUACCUUUCAGUGGGGGAGUAACGUAGCGAAAGUUACGCUAAUACCGCAUAUUCUGUGAGCAGGAAAGCAGGGGAUCGCAAGACCUUGCGCUGAUUGAGCGGCCGAUAUCAGAUUAGCUAGUUGGUGAGGUAAAGGCUCACCAAGGCGACGAUCUGUAGCGGGUCUGAGAGGAUGAUCCGCCACACUGGAACUGAGACACGGUCCAGACUCCUACGGGAGGCAGCAGUGGGGGAAUUUUUGGACAAUGGGCGCAAGCCUGAUCCAGCCAUGCCGCGUGAGUGAAGAAGGCCUCGGUUGU